RNAcentral lists this unclassified non-coding RNA (2626 nucleotides) under Hevea brasiliensis (rubber tree). Lineage: Eukaryota; Viridiplantae; Streptophyta; Magnoliopsida; Malpighiales; Euphorbiaceae. The record is from RNAcentral.
GAUUCAUCACUUUAUUACUUGAGAAGUCUCGUAUACUUGAGGAUUCCCCCAAUCAAGUUUUUGGCACCGUUACCGGGGAUUUGAUUUUUGUUUGAUAUUGAACGAUUGUUUGUUUGGUUAAUUUGGGCAUUUUAUUUUAUUUUCUUUUACCGUUUUACUUUGAGAAUUUGUUUAUAUUGUUUUUCAGGUAAUUUAUUUUAUGAGAAGGAAAAAAAGUGAAGAAAUCAAUUUAUUCUUUGAUCCAGAAAUAGAAAAGACAGCAAGAGCUUUAAGAGCAGAAGCUAAGAGAAGAAAAGCUGAAUUUGGAGCUCAACAACAAUAAGAAAGAGCACAAGAGCAAGAGCAAUUACAAGAAGAAAUGGCCAACAACAACAAUAACAACCGCUCUGUGAAGGAUCAUGCCUAUCCUAAUAUUGGAGAUUUCAUGCCAAGUAUCACAAGACCAAGGGUAGAAGCUAAUAAUUUUGAACUGAAGCCUGCACUUUGUCAGAUGGUGCAACAAUCACAAUUUGGAGGAAAUCCAAGUGAAAGUCCACAUGUGCAUCUAGCACACUUUCUUGAGAUCAGUGAUAUGUUGAAGAUAAAUGGAGUUUCUGAUGAUGCAAUUCGACUCAGAUUAUUUCCUUUUUCUCUGAAGGACCGUGCUAGAGAGUGGUUACAUUCUUUGCCACCGGGUUCUAUCACAACAUGGGAUGAACUUUCUCAAGCAUUUUUAGCUCAAUAUUUUCCACCAAGCAAGACAGCUAAGCUAAGAAAUGAGCUGACUUCUUUCAAACCUAGAGAUGAUGAGAGCUUGUAUGAAGCAUGGGAGAGGUACAAGGAUUUGCAAAGGAGAUGUCCACAUCAUGGGAUUCCUAAGUGGAUGCUUGUUCAACACUUCUACAAUGGGGUUUCACCAGCUAUUAGGAGUACAAUUGAUGCAUCAUCUGGAGGUGAUCUUAUGGAAAAAUCUGAAGAUGAAGCUUUUUCUGCUUUGGAUAAAAUUGCUUAUAACAACUACCAAUGGAGUUGUGAGAGGAAUGAGAUUAAGAAAACAGCUGGUAUGUUUGAGCUUGAUGCCAUGAAUAUGAUUAAUGCUAAGUUUGAUGCUUUGACAAGGAAGAUGGACAAGCUAAGCAUGAAAGUAGAUUCUUCAGCUGGAGGUUCUAGUAAUUCAGUAGAAGUUGGAGCUGCAAAUGUCAAUUGUGCAGUAGAUUUUUCUGUACUUAAUCAAGAUUUUUCAAGUGAGCAAGUGGAUUAUGUGGGGAACUACAAUCAAAGACCAGGUGGUAACCCAUUUUCUGCAACUUAUGAUCCAGCAUGGAGAAACCACCCAAAUUUCUCUUGGGGAGGUAGACAAGGGCAAAAUCAGAAUUUUCAGCAACCUUCUGGAUAUCAACAACAUCAGAAUUUUCAGCAGAAUAAAGGUCCUCCUCCUGGAAUUUCUAAACCUCAAAAUGCACCUGCUCCACCUCUACCACAACAAGCACAACUAGAUAAGACAGCUAGAUUGGAAUCUAUGAUUGAAACUCUACUUGUGAGCCAUUAAAGUCAACAAGAAAUGAUUUCUCAAUUAGCAUUUAAAGUGGAUCAAAUGGCAACACACAACAAGAUGUUAGAGAAUCAAAUAGCUCAACAAGCUAGCUCUUCAAGUAACAAAGCAUUUGGGAAGCUUCCUCGCCAACCAGAAAAUUCAAGGGAGCAUUGCAAGGCUAUUACAUUGAGGAGUGGAAAAAUAUUGGAGAAUGGAGAUAAAAAGAUUGAAGAGAAAAUUGAAGAAGAGAAAAAUAGAGAAGGAGAUGAACAAACUGAAGCUGGAGUUAGAAUUGGAGUUGAGAAAGAAAAUUCAGUGGAAGAAAAGGGAAGUAAGGAGAGGGAAAGCAAAAAAGAAGAACCUAAAUAUGUUGCACCUAAAGCCUACAUGCCAACUUUACUAUUCCCACAAAGGUUUCAGAAAGCAAAAUUGGAUAAACAAUUUGGGAAGUUUUUGGAGGUAUUGAAGUCUUUGCAUGUGACUAUUCCUUUCACUGAUGCUUUAGCACAAAUGCCUUCUUAUGCUAAAUUUUUGAAGGAGAUUUUAUCUAACAAGAAGAAAUUUGAGGAAUUUGAGACCGUAGCUCUUACGGAAGAAAGCAGUGCUAUUUUGCAAAAUAAGCUUCCACCCAAACUGAAAGAUCCUGGAAGUUUCUCCAUACCAUGUCACAUUGGGGAUAUCAGUAUAGAUAAGGCUUUAUGUGAUCUUGGAGCCAGUGUUAGUCUGAUGCCAUUGUCUAUCUAUGAGAAAGUGAAGAUUGGAGAAAUGAAGCCUACUACCAUUUCACUACAGCUAGCAGAUAGGUCUAUUAAAUUUCCAAUUGGGGUAAUUGAGAAUGUUCCUCUGAAAGUUGGAAAAUUUUUCAUACCAGUGGAUUUUGUGGUAUUGGAGAUGGAGGAGGAUGUACACAUUCCUAUUAUUCUUGGUAGACCUUUCCUUGCUACUGCUGGAGCUGUGAUUGAUGUAAAAAAUGGGAGGCUUACAUUAGAAGUUGGGGAAGAGAAAGUUGAAUUUAAUUUGUUUCAAGCAAUGAAAAAGAAAGAUGAUUCAAAUUCAUGCUUGAGAAUUGAUGUGAUAGAUGAAGAGGUCAGAGAAGUGCUUAAAAAGCAACAU